UACGUAGGUGACAAGCGUUGUCCGGAUUUACUGGGCGUAAAGCGCGCGCAGGCGGUUGAUCAAGUCGGGUGUGAAAGCCCCCGGCUCAACUGGGGAGGGUCAUUCGAUACUGAUCGACUCGAAGGCAGGAGAGGGUAGUGGAAUUCCCGGUGUAGUGGUGAAAUGCGUAGAUAUCGGGAGGAACACCAGUGGCGAAGGCGACUACCUGGCCUGUUCUUGACGCUGAGGCGCGAAAGCGAGGGGAGCAAACGGG
RNAcentral lists this ribosomal RNA (253 nucleotides) under uncultured bacterium. RNAcentral's name for it is "partial 16S ribosomal RNA". It matches the Rfam family "Bacterial small subunit ribosomal RNA", at positions 524 to 776 of the family's 1533-position model. The record is from RNAcentral.